CUUUGCAUAUGAAGGUAUGAUUCCAGCAACAUUCAUACAAUUUUUUGACAACAUAAAAAAUUACAGCAUAAUAUCGAAAAUCACCUCCUCUGGUCUGGAAGAAUGAGAAAUGGUUGCUCAAACACUGAAAAAAUCGCUGUCGGACUGGAGAAGACAGUGAAGUCGCUCGCACCGCUGGAAGAUUCAGAAAUGGUUGCUCAAACACUGAAACUAUGGCCGCCGGACUGGAGAAGACAGUGAAGUCGCUGCACGAUUGCUCAAACACUGAAAAUAUGGCCGCUGGACUGGAGAAGACUGUGAAGUCGCUGCACAAAUAUGGCCGCUGGACUGGAGAAGACAGUGAAGUCGCUGCACGACUGGAAGAAUGACGGUUGUCCAGCAAAUGGUGCUCUUCAGUUCGAAGAAGUGGAGCAGCUAAUCUCCACUACAACUUUAGGGCUUCCAUUUUGGGAGGAGAAGAGAGAUUUGGCGGGUUAUGAGGUCGAAACCAAAAUUUUCCCCCAUUUCUUCCAGCCACGUCAGUAAUAACUUAAACUUCUAUACAGCUUCUGUCAAAGGUUGCCUGUACGUCUAGCUUAAUUGUGCAAAAAAAUGAAACGUGUUGACCUUUUCUACAAGAAGUGUCAAACGUAAAAACGUUUUGUGCUAUUAAGCCCAAGUAUUUCAUGACAAUGCGGUUACAAUAUAUUAAUUUCUGUGAAUUGACUACAGAUGGAGUUCAUAAUGCCUGUCAUAUCCUAUCGAUUGUGAGUAACAUAAAUUAAUUGCAUAAAAGAAAAUUGACCCAAAUUGGAGUUGUCGAUUCUAGCCUAGUGGUUGGUAGGUGAUUGGGAUGAUGGUCGGGAGCGGUGGUGUUUAUGGGUUUCAGAUGUUUUCCGAGCAAGGAAAUGGGCGGCGGGACAGAAACAAGCAGCAGAUAAGUGUGUCACACUCGUUACAAAAAAUU
This 946-nucleotide long non-coding RNA is filed under the name Olea europaea subsp. europaea. Lineage: Eukaryota; Viridiplantae; Streptophyta; Magnoliopsida; Lamiales; Oleaceae. The record is from RNAcentral.